UCCUUGGUGGUCCAGUGGUUAGGACUCAGUGUUUUCACUACUGGAGGCCUGGGUUCAAUCCUUGGUCAUGGAA
This 73-nucleotide transfer RNA is filed under the name Bos taurus (domestic cattle). It matches the Rfam family "tRNA". From Rfam's summary of the family: Transfer RNA (tRNA) molecules are approximately 80 nucleotides in length. Their secondary structure includes four short double-helical elements and three loops (D, anti-codon, and T loops). Further hydrogen bonds mediate the characteristic L-shaped molecular structure. tRNAs have two regions of fundamental functional importance: the anti-codon, which is responsible for specific mRNA codon recognition, and the 3' end, to which the tRNAs corresponding amino acid is attached (by aminoacyl-tRNA synthetases). tRNAs cope with the degeneracy of the genetic code in two manners: having more than one tRNA (with a specific anti-codon) for a particular amino acid; and 'wobble' base-pairing, i.e. permitting non-standard base-pairing at the 3rd anti-codon position. The record is from Rfam by way of RNAcentral. Lineage: Eukaryota; Metazoa; Chordata; Mammalia; Artiodactyla; Bovidae. RNAcentral also lists the same sequence under 2 other names.